GACGAACGCUGGCGGCGUGCCUAACACAUGCAAGUCGAACGGAAAGUCCCUGCUUUUUUGGGCUGCUCUAGUUGCGACCUGGUGAGUAACACGUGAGUAACCUGUCCCUGCCUUUGGGAUAACUUCAUGCAACUUGGUCUCAUACCAGAUAGGAUCUCCUGCUUCAUGGUGGGGGCUGGUUAGUUUCGGUGGUUGGGGAUGGACUCGCGGCGUAUCAGAUUGGUGGUUGGGUAGUGGCUUACCAAGGCCUUGACGGGUAGCCGGGCUGGGAGGGUGACAGGCCAAAUUAGGACUGAGAUGAGGCACGGACUCGUACGGGAGGGAGAAGAGGGGAAUAUAGUACAAUGGGAGGAAGGAUGAUGCAGCAAAGCAGCGUGCGGGAAGAGGGCCUUGGGGUAGUAAACCGAUUUCGCCUGUGACGAAGCGAGAGUGACAGUAAUGGGUGAAGGAGCACCGGCUAACUACGUG
This 468-nucleotide ribosomal RNA is filed under the name uncultured bacterium. Its description in RNAcentral is "partial 16S ribosomal RNA". It matches the Rfam family "Bacterial small subunit ribosomal RNA", at positions 28 to 507 of the family's 1533-position model. The record is from RNAcentral.